GGAGAAAAGCAGGGGAUCGAAAGACCUCGCGUUAUUGGAGCGGCCGAUGCCGGAUUAGCUAGUUGGUGAGGUAAAGGCUCACCAAGGCGACGAUCCGUAGCUGGUCUGAGAGGACGACCAGCCACACUGGGACUGAGACACGGCCCAGACUCCUACGGGAGGCAGCAGUGGGGAAUUUUGGACAAUGGGGGCAACCCUGAUCCAGCCAUGCCGCGUGAGUGAAGAAGGCCUUCGGGUUGUAAAGCUCUUUCGCAAGGAAAGAAAACUUAUCUACUAAUACUAGGUGAGGAUGACGGUACCUUGAUAAGAAGCACCGGCUAACUACGUGCCAGCAGCCGCGGUAAUACGUAGGGUGCGAGCGUUAAUCGGAAUUACUGGGCGUAAAGCGUGCGCAGGCGGUUUCGUAAGCCAGAUGUGAAAUCCCCGGGCUCCAACCUGGGAACUGCGUUUGAAACUUACCAAAAA
RNAcentral lists this ribosomal RNA (465 nucleotides) under uncultured ammonia-oxidizing beta proteobacterium. RNAcentral's name for it is "bacterial SSU rRNA". It matches the Rfam family "Bacterial small subunit ribosomal RNA", at positions 198 to 642 of the family's 1533-position model. Lineage: Bacteria; Pseudomonadati; Pseudomonadota; Betaproteobacteria. The record is from RNAcentral.